UACGUAGGGUGCGAGCGUUGUCCGGAAUUAUUGGGCGUAAAGAGCUCGUAGGCGGUCUGUCGCGUCUGCUGUGAAAUCCCGAGGCUCAACCUCGGGCUUGCAGUGGGUACGGGCAGGCUAGAGUGCGGUAGGGGAGAAUGGAACUCCUGGUGUAGCGGUGGAAUGCGCAGAUAUCAGGAAGAACACCGAUGGCGAAGGCAGUUCUCUGGGCCGUAACUGACGCUGAGGAGCGAAAGUGUGGGGAGCGAACAGG
This 253-nucleotide ribosomal RNA is filed under the name uncultured bacterium. RNAcentral describes it as "partial 16S ribosomal RNA". It matches the Rfam family "Bacterial small subunit ribosomal RNA", at positions 524 to 776 of the family's 1533-position model. The record is from RNAcentral.